GGCGUGCUUAACACAUGCAAGUCGAACGGUGAACACGGAGCUUGCUCUGUGGGAUCAGUGGCGAACGGGUGAGUAACACGUGAGCAACCUGCCCCUGACUCUGGGAUAAGCGCUGGAAACGGCGUCUAAUACUGGAUACGAGUAGCGGCCGCAUGGUCAGUUACUGGAAAGAUUUAUUGGUUGGGGAUGGGCUCGCGGCCUAUCAGCUUGUUGGUGAGGUAAUGGCUCACCAAGGCGUCGACGGGUAGCCGGCCUGAGAGGGUGACCGGCCACACUGGGACUGAGACACGGCCCAGACUCCUACGGGAGGCAGCAGUGGGGAAUAUUGCACAAUGGGCGGAAGCCUGAUGCAGCAACGCCGCGUGAGGGAUGACGGCCUUCGGGUUGUAAACCUCUUUUAGCAGGGAAGAAGCGAAAGUGACGGUACCUGCAGAAAAAGCACCGGCUAACUACGUGCCAGCAGCCGCGGUAAUACGUAGGGUGCAAGCGUUAUCCGGAAUUAUUGGGCGUAAAGAGCUCGUAGGCGGUUUGUCGCGUCUGCUGUGAAAUCCGGAGGCUCAACCUCCGGCCUGCAGUGGGUACGGGCAGACUAGAGUGCGGUAGGGGAGAUUGGAAUUCCUGGUGUAGCGGUGGAAUGCGCAGAUAUCAGGAGGAACACCGAUGGCGAAGGCAGAUCUCUGGGCCGUUACUGACGCUGAGGAGCGAAAGGGUGGGGAGCAAACAGGCUUAGAUACCCUGGUAGUCCACCCCGUAAACGUUGGGAACUAGUUGUGGGGUCCAUUCCACGGAUUCCGUGACGCAGCUAACGCAUUAAGUUCCCCGCCUGGGGAGUACGGCCGCAAGGCUAAAACUCAAAGGAAUUGACGGGGACCCGCACAAGCGGCGGAGCAUGCGGAUUAAUUCGAUGCAACGCGAAGAACCUUACCAAGGCUUGACAUAUACGAGAACGGGCC
Molecule: ribosomal RNA, 953 nt
Filed under: Microbacterium foliorum
Lineage: Bacteria; Bacillati; Actinomycetota; Actinomycetes; Micrococcales; Microbacteriaceae
Description: bacterial SSU rRNA
Rfam family: Bacterial small subunit ribosomal RNA
Source: RNAcentral